UUUAUGAGAGGGUAAACUAUGGAUGAGCUUUGGUCUGUGGGUCUGCUUUGCAAUCCCUUUCAAAAUUAUGAAGAAAACCAGUAAUAAAUGCCUACGAGCCAUAUUUCUGGAACAUGUGAUUCCUUUGAGAACAAAAAGGUAUAUAAAUGCUAAGCAAAGUAAAUGAGUCAGAUCAAUUCCCCAAUUAACAUCCAAAGAGGUUCGAGACUGUGAGAAGGAAGUCAUUGGGGUAACCGAGACCCCGCCUCGAGGGACCUUAGAACCAGAGGUCAUCUGGGUAACUAGGGCCCUGCUUUGAGGGACAGACCAAGUGCCAGAGAGGAGAAAGAAGAAAGAGAAGUAGUCUCCAGCAGAUCAGGAAGAAGAAAGCAGCAUUUAAUGCCAACAAACGAAUUCUCAGGGGAUCAGAUAUUAAAUACAACCUCAAAUAUCCUGUGAUCUUCAUAAUGAAACUGACAGACUCUGUGAAAUACUUCAAUACCCCAUCAGAUGCUUGGCAAGCACUACAGGAAUUGAGACCGAAUCUCACUAAGGGUAAGGCAUCAUCCUCUCAUAAAGGAAAAGAAAAUGAAGAAUAUAAGCCCUGAAGAAAAGGACUCAUGAUUGGGAAAACCAGAAAGAAAUUCUAAAUCGUUAUCAUUGGCCUCCUGAAGUGAUUGCAUAAAGCUGGACUUGAUGUACAUAGUAAAUGUUGGACAUGUGACACCUCCAAUGUAAUCCUGUCUCAGAUAGCCUUUGAAUGUCAAAGUAUGCACAUUCUGGAAGGAAGCACGUGAUGCUCUAAUGUGAUUGGAUAGAAGUUUCCCCUACAUCAAGCCUUUGUGUUUUGGGCUUUCUAGAAGAUCUACUCUGUUGGAGUAAUGCCAGGAAAGGGAUUGCUGCUGUGUUUAUAGUGGCCAAAAGAGCCAUUUUACAAAAAUGGAAAUCUGUUAUUACCCCAACAUUCUUUGAUUGGCUAACUGAGAUAAGCAACACAACCCUCAUGGAAAAAUACUGACAAUCUGUAGAGGUCAAGAUCCAAUUGUGAAGACAGAUGGUCUUUCAUAAGAGCAUUACAAACUGACUCCAGGUAGAUUGGGCUUCUGAUGCAUCUAUUUUUUGGGGUGGGAGUAGUUGUUACGGAACUAUUUAUCUUAUAAUGCUCAAGAGUAUUUCUCCAUAAAUAUUUCAUACUAUGUUAUUGUUAAGUCUGUAUUCUGGCUGUGUUUUCUUUGACAUUGUAUUUGACUAUGUCUGUAUGGAUAUGUUAAAACAUCUGAAAAAUAAAAUGAAAAAGGCCUUUUCGGGUUUGAAGUAGGGGUGACUAGAUUUGAGGUAUGACAACUAAAUAAAGAACAGCUUUUUUCAGGGUUGAAGAGAAACAACAGCAGAAAUGGCAGAUCUUUAGUGUUUGCCAUUUCCUCUCUUCAUCUGCAAAAUGAAAAAAAAAUCUUCUGACAGCUGAAGAAAUACUUGGUAUCUAUUAUAAAUUGAAAGGCCCUUUUGAGGGUUGAAAUUUGAGGUAAGCAUUUAAAAACAUGGGACGCCAACAAAGUUUCCAAAGGACUUUGCUGGUGGGGUCAGAAAAGUCUAUAGGCCUCUUAGUAGGACAUGUUUCUUAGUUGAUAAAGAGCCAAUGGUAUAUAAAGUUUGGUCAUCCACUUCAUAGACUCAUAGACUUUAAGGUCAGAAGGGACCAUUAUGAUCAUCUAGUCUGACCUCCCGCAUGAUGCGGGCCACAAAGCCGUCCCAACCCCUUUCCCUUGACUCUGCUAUUGAAGU
Molecule: long non-coding RNA, 1761 nt
Organism: Trachemys scripta elegans
Lineage: Eukaryota; Metazoa; Chordata; Testudines; Emydidae
Exons: 3
Source: RefSeq, a predicted model, not a curated record